CGGGUGAGUAACGCGUAGGUGACCUGCCCCUUUGUGUGGGAUAACCCGGAGAAAUUCGGGCUAAUACCGCAUAAGCAAAGCAAUUUUGAAAGUAGCUUUGGAAAGAUGGCCUCUGAUUUAAGCUAUCACUGAGGGAUGGGCCUGCGUGACAUUAGUUUGUUGGUAAGGUAAUGGCUUACCAAGACUACGAUGUCUAGCUGGUCUGAGAGGAUGAUCAGCCACACUGGAACUGAGACACGGUCCAGACUCC
This 250-nucleotide ribosomal RNA is filed under the name uncultured bacterium. RNAcentral describes it as "partial 16S ribosomal RNA". It matches the Rfam family "Bacterial small subunit ribosomal RNA", at positions 103 to 339 of the family's 1533-position model. The record is from RNAcentral.